CCUACGGGAGGCAGCAGUGGGGAAUUUUGGACAAUGGGCGAAAGCCUGAUCCAGCAAUGCCGCGUGCAGGAUGAAGGCCUUCGGGUUGUAAACUGCUUUUGUACGGAACGAAACGGUCUUUUCUAAUACAGAAGGCUAAUGACGGUACCGUAAGAAUAAGCACCGGCUAACUACGUGCCAGCAGCCGCGGUAAUACGUAGGGUGCAAGCGUUAAUCGGAAUUACUGGGCGUAAAGCGUGCGCAGGCGGUUAUGUAAGACAGUUGUGAAAUCCCCGGGCUCAACCUGGGAAUUGCAUCUGUGACUGCAUAGCUAGAGUACGGUAGAGGGGGAUGGAAUUCCGCGUGUAGCAGUGAAAUGCGUAGAUAUGCGGAGGAACACCGAUGGCGAAGGCAAUCCCCUGGACCUGUACUGACGCUCAUGCACGAAAGCGUGGGGAGCAAACAGGAUUAGAUACCCUGGUAGUCCACGCCCUAAACGAUGUCAACUGGUUGUUGGGUCUUCACUGACUCAGUAACGAAGCUAACGCGUGAAGUUGACCGCCUGGGGAUACGGCCGCAAGGUUGAAACUCAAAGGAUUGACGGCNGAGAGNGCGAGACGACGACGAGGGAGGAGG
This 615-nucleotide ribosomal RNA is filed under the name uncultured bacterium. Its description in RNAcentral is "bacterial SSU rRNA". It matches the Rfam family "Bacterial small subunit ribosomal RNA", at positions 338 to 948 of the family's 1533-position model. The record is from RNAcentral.